UACGCACGCUGGCGGCGUGCUUAACACAUGCAAGUCGAACGGAAAGGCCCUGCUUUUGUGGGGUGCUCGAGUGGCGAACGGGUGAGUAACACGUGAGUAACCUGCCCUUGACUUUGGGAUAACUUCAGGAAACUGGGGCUAAUACCGGAUAGGAGCUCCUGCUGCAUGGUGGGGGUUGGAAAGUUUCGGCGGUUGGGGAUGGACUCGCGGCUUAUCAGCUUGUUGGUGGGGUAGUGGCUUACCAAGGCUUUGACGGGUAGCCGGCCUGAGAGGGUGACCGGCCACAUUGGGACUGAGAUACGGCCCAGACUCCUACGGGAGGCAGCAGUGGGGAAUAUUGCACAAUGGGCGGAAGCCUGAUGCAGCAACGCCGCGUGCGGGAUGACGGCCUUCGGUUUGUAAACCGCUUUCGCCUGUGACGAAGCGUGAGUGACGGUAAUGGGUAAAGAAGCACCGGCUAACUACGUG
RNAcentral lists this ribosomal RNA (468 nucleotides) under uncultured bacterium. Its description in RNAcentral is "partial 16S ribosomal RNA". It matches the Rfam family "Bacterial small subunit ribosomal RNA", at positions 29 to 507 of the family's 1533-position model. The record is from RNAcentral.